GCUCAUACUGGUCAUUACAAUUCAGCUCAUUUUAGCAUGUCUCUGAAAUCUUACACCAAGUAAUCUAGCAAAUCUAAGAACUGCUUACAGUGCAUUUCACAUCUAGAAACUGUGAACAAGUACAAAGGACCUAAAAGACUGUAUUUACUUUUAAUUGUGAAUUUCGCUUCCCCUAUUUCUUGUCCUGUCUCAGGACACAAAUGUGUGAUGGGUCAAAUUAAUUUUUCAUAGCUAUGACACAAUGUGGAUGUCGGAAUCUGGGACUGCACAUGCUCAGACAACACAUCCUGUUGGGAAGACUGGUACAGUGGUUGAGCUUCAGUGGACUUCUGCCGCAGUACCCAGAUGCCAGUGAGUUGAAGCAGAUCUCUGAGAUGUGGCAGCAGUUGAACCAGCAGCACAAAACCACUUGUCUGGAAAUGAGAUGUGAUACUGAGGAUAAAUAUAGAGGGAACUCCAUUAUACAUGGUAUGGUGGCUCAUAUGCACAAACAAUAUGGGCCACUAUUGGUUUCAGAAGACUGCACCCACCAGACUUGCCCACCACCUUCACUACAAUCUCUUCUAAAGCUCAUACUGACCUCUUAUAUAGACACCACAUCUGCCCUAGCCAUUAUAAUGUAUUUUGUUUUGGACGUUUCUAACAUGCAGGGUAAAGGUGAUCUCCUUAAGUCUUUCUGCCAGACCUUUAGCAUACCAUCCAGCUUCUUCCAACAAAUCUAUGGGUUUUGGCUCCUAGACCAUGGCUUUGUAUCAGUAUGACAUCUUCUACCAUCAAGCUCAUAAAAUACUGAAUCUAUAAUUUGUAGUCUGUCUGGGAUAGACAGGAUCCUGUUACAAGUAGUGUUCUGGAACACAAUUCAUUUUCCCCCACAGAAUUCACUUGGAAAGCUUUUGAGCCCCAAGACCAGUUCAGGAAUGUUAUCAUGUCACAGUUAUGCUGUCUUGAGGACCUUGCUGAGACAGGGGCAGAGGGAAGCAGCACUGAAAUACCUCUACUACACUAAGCCUGCUAUAGAGAAUGCUCAGGAUGCCAGACUGUAUGUGGAUGUGCUCUUACAGAACAAGUACUGUAUAUGAAAAUGAAUCUUACUGACUGCCAUAGAAUUGGUGCCAUUAGGUGUCAUUAAAAGUAGGAUUUAAACCAUAUGGGUGUGGAAACCUUAUUAUAUUUCAGAAAAUAUAUAAUAGUGUGCCGUUUUAAGAUUUGGUCAAGUUUUCUCUUUCUGUGUCAUCUGGCCAUCGCAUUCUUUCAGCCAUGUUGGUGAAGCUCAGAUUCUGCUCAGGUGGUGCCAACCAGGAAAGGAAUAUCUACUUCACAAUUUCACAUGUGGCUGUGAAAAUCCCAGUCUCUGUGGGGAAAUACUGGCCAGUAAUAUUCCACAUCUCAAAUUAUCAGAGAGACCAUAUUCUACUAAACCUGAAAAAAUAAACCAAAGAAAUCUUGGUGAUACCGUUGCAAGAAAUACGUUUGUUGGAAACGGUUGGAAAAACUAAUUUUAUUCAAAUAUAGAGACUUCAUUAUUAUAAGGACAACUUUAAUACUCAAGAAAUCUUUUGCCCGUGGAUUACUUAGUAAAGUAAAUAUGUUCAUGUACAUGUACAAGUUAUAUUUUCUAAUAUUCUCAGGGCAUAUUCCUCAUCCAUUUUCUGCACUGCUCUACCAGUGUCUGUUUAAUGGCUCUCUAACUCCCGGAGAUUUUCUCAAAUUAUUUAGAGAAUCUGUGACAGAGCUUAACUCAUCAAAACAACACACAAGGCUGAUGGUGGUGUUGCCAACAUACAUAGAGAACAAUGAAGAUAACAGGAAUACUUCUCAGUCACCCGAGACAUUUUGUCAUUUAGCCUUACCUCCUAGUCCUGUAGAGCUCCAGAAGGAACAAAUGAAGUUGUUACAGAAUGAUAGAAUGGAGGUUUAUGUGUCUCCAGCAGAUGUCUCUCCUGGCUCCACAUCUGCAGACAGCAUGGAGUCUGCAUGCUCCUUCAUUACUUCCUCCUCUCCUUCAUUUCUUCCCCCUCUCCAGCAUUCGCUGAGCGGCAAUCACAUGCCAUCUAAAGAUGUUACGCAGUACUGUUCUCCUUUCACCCUCAUUGCAGGGUGCAGCUCAAAGGCAACGCUCAUCAAAAGCUUGUGCAAAGAAAGUGUACAUGAGCUGGUCAGCUCUGAGAACGAAGUGAUUGAUGAUAAGGUCACAGAGCCACAUUCAGAGAGCAUUAGGGCAGGAUAUGAGAGAGAACAGUUCCGUGUUUUAUCUUCUGAGAGUGUUUAUAUCCAAGACUCCAUUUGUGAUGAAGCUUCUGGAUCAAGCAGCUUUUUGGACCUGAAGCCUUUAAAAAGAGCACUGGAGCCUUACCCUCCAGUUAAGAAGAGCCUUGGGUCCUUCUGUUAUGAUCCUCAGAAUGUCACAGACCAGCCGGAGAUCCUCACUUCAUGUGCCCGUGCUGAGACUAUGCAGGAGCUUCUGGAGCAGGUCCAUGAUCAGGCCCUUAUAUUAAAGGCUGGGAAUCCCAAACAACCAUCAGUUUUAGAGUCUGUCAGGAGUUCCAAACUGUUAAUGGAUUUUAACCCAGUGUGGCCUGGCUCUCGUCCUCAUCAGCCUCAGCGUUCUCUUGGAACUUCAUUAUUACCACUGAGCCCCAUUGAGAAGACCAGAGACAAAGCAACCAGUGAGGGCAGAAAUGCAGGAAUUAAAGAGGUAGUGUGUUUUAGGACCACAUCAGAUCGAGUGGGUGACUAUAAACUGGGCAGCUGGUGGAAGCAGGCUCUGGAGACAAGAAGAGCCUCCACUGGAUUGCUGCCUGCUAUCGAGCAGGUGCCUGCUGUCACGAAAGAGAAAAGACACUCUCUUUUUCUAGGAUGGCCUCAGUCUCAUGGGCUUAUCAGAGGACUCAAACAAGAGGUUAUACAGGAAAAGGCUGCGGCUAGAGCCUUUCAUUAUGGACAGCAUUUGCUGUUUGAUUGUCCCAUAACCUCAGGCAUAGAUUAAUGGGAUCAGGAUAUUUUGGCACCAACUCCACCCACACAUGAACAGAGGAAAUGAAAUGCAGCACUAUGCUACAAAGGAUGAGUCAAGCAGAAAAGCUGAAGGGAAAAGGUGCAAACAGGUCAAACAAUUCUGAGAAAGAGUGAGAGUAAGAAAGGACAACAUCACUGAUACGUGGGAUUAAAAAAGCUUUCCAGUUCUGAUUUGCUUACCAUAUUUACCGUAUGUUGACUAAACAUUUGAAAACUGCAUUUUAAUAAACAGAAAAUCUUAAUAUCUGCCGUAGGUUUGCAUUGUUUAUUUUUUAAUCUCAUGUGACAAAUGAAUAUGAAUGACAUUUUAUGAUUCUGAAUGUGUAAUACUGUUGCUUAAUCAUGUCACAGGUUUGGAUUAAAUCAGUGUCAAAUAGAUUUAACAUGUUUGCUGUUCUUUAUUUCACAAUCCUGAUUUACAUAGUCCUGUUUUUUCUCCCAAACAAA
Molecule: RNA transcript, 3462 nt
Organism: Tachysurus fulvidraco (yellow catfish)
Lineage: Eukaryota; Metazoa; Chordata; Actinopteri; Siluriformes; Bagridae
Exons: 12
Source: RefSeq, a predicted model, not a curated record